This 497-nucleotide ribosomal RNA is filed under the name uncultured bacterium. Its description in RNAcentral is "partial 16S ribosomal RNA". It matches the Rfam family "Bacterial small subunit ribosomal RNA", at positions 28 to 507 of the family's 1533-position model. The record is from RNAcentral.
GACGAACGCUGGCGGCGUGCUUAAUACAUGCAAGUUGAACGCGCAAGCCUUUUUCUUUUGCCGACUGGAUGAGCAGCGAACGGGUGAGUAACGCGUGGGUAAUCUGCCUUUUAGCGGGGGACAACAUUUUGAAACGAAUGCUAAUACCGCAUAAACACUUUGAUCACAAUUUUUCAGGUUGAAAGAUUCUAUUGCUUCACUCAUAGAUGAGCGCGGGUUGUAUUGGCUUGUUGGUGUGGUAAGGGCUCACCAAGGCGAUGAUACGUAGCCGAGCUGGGAGGGUGAGCGGCGCGAUUGGGACUGAGCCAAGGCACAGACCAGUCCGGGAGGCGGCAGUAGGGAGUGUUGGGCAGUGGAAGGGAGUGUGGCCGGGUGACGCGGCGUGGGUGAAGAGGGGUAUGGGAUCGUAAUGCUAUCUUGGUAGAGAAGAGGGUUGGUGAGCGUGGAAAGUUGAUGAAGUGACGGUAGCUGCGCAGAAAGCGCCGGCUAACUACGUG